Molecule: long non-coding RNA, 1141 nt
Filed under: Nicotiana tabacum (common tobacco)
Lineage: Eukaryota; Viridiplantae; Streptophyta; Magnoliopsida; Solanales; Solanaceae
Description: long non-coding RNA (NTAB_LNC000967)
Source: RNAcentral
GGAAACUCACGUACUUUCCUUCGAAAUGGAAAAGAGCAAUUCAAAGAUCACUAUCAACCAUGAAUCUUAAUAACAGAAGCUUAGUUCUCGUUCCAAAAAAGCUUCGCAAAGUCAGAAACAAAUCCGUUCAAAAGUUCGAAGAAUCAAAAGCAAAAAUUUCGUUCAGUCAAUGAAGGUUUUCCAACGGAAUAUUAUACGAAAUUUUCCCUACUACAGGUAUGUUAAGGCCUUCUCUUCUUUCUUUUGGCAUGGUCCAAGUUAUACUGAAGAAACGAACAAACACAUAGUUUUCAUAAAUUACUCUAUUCAUCGAAAUAGUAGGGGUGUCUAUAUUCUUUAUUCCCCAUGAAAAAUAUUAUUAUCUUCUGUUCGUGGGUCUCAGAAUAAUACACAAUUGAAAAAGUUUAUCCGGAAGGAAUAUUGAGAUUAUUACAUAUUUUUCAUGCAUUUCACUCAUUUAUACAUAUGCAUUGACUCAUGACCAGAUGGCGUUAUAUACGCGUAUAUAUGUAAAUAUAUGUAUUAUGGGAUAUGGGAAAAGAUUUCGGCAUUGUAUACCCACCACCACCUGAUCAGUCGGUAUGUGUUGAUAAUGUUGCCCACAGUGGCCGAGAUGAUAUGAUGGGAUGCCCUCAGUGACUUGAUGAUAUUAUGUACACCCAUACCUAUGCAUGGCACAAUAUUUAUACGCACAUGCAUGACAUUAUAAACGUUUCAGAAUUUACAAAGUUAUUCAGAUUUAAAGAUGUGUUUCUUUAUUCCAUGUUUCAUCUAUGUCUUUUACGUAUUAAUUUUCAUGCCUUACAUACUCAGUACAUUUUUCGUACUGACGCCCUAUUUCACGGGGCCUGUGUUUCAUGCCCGCAGGUGCAGGUAGGCAAGCUGACAGUCCCCCUUCUUAGGAUCGCUGAUCCGCGAGAGUUGGCGUGCUCCACUUGAUCCGGAACUACUUUGAUUUUGGUCGACAUGUUUGUGUAUAUAUAUGUAUAUGGGUAUGACAUGGCUCAGUCCCGUCUUUGUACAGUUAUAUUUCUAUUAGAGGUCUGUAGAUAGUGUUGGGUUGUAUGUGACCUUGUCGGCUUUCAGUUUUGGAUGUAUAGUUGUCUAUAGCAGCCUUGCCGACUCGCCUACUAUAUCCUGC